Molecule: small RNA, 204 nt
Filed under: Arabidopsis thaliana (thale cress)
Lineage: Eukaryota; Viridiplantae; Streptophyta; Magnoliopsida; Brassicales; Brassicaceae
Description: ATSL163550
Source: RNAcentral
CUUUUUUAAAGACUUUAUUAUCCAUUUGCCGUGGGUCCAACCAGCUAUGUAGGGAUACCCUAUCUUCUUUAUAAGAGCUUUGACACAUGCAAAAUAUUGGAAAAGAAUGUCCGAACAUAUUCUUUUCCCCCCGUAAUAUAGCAAAGAUCACGAAAAGGCCCGAAAAUGUAUAUUAAGUUCAAAAUUUGGAGUAGAAAAAAAAAA